Molecule: ribosomal RNA, 402 nt
Filed under: bacterium
Lineage: Bacteria
Description: partial 16S ribosomal RNA
Rfam family: Bacterial small subunit ribosomal RNA
Source: RNAcentral
UGGGGAAUUUUGCACAAUGGGGGAAACCCUGAUGCAGCGACGCCGCGUGAUUUAGAAGGCCUUCGGGUUGUAAAAAUCUUUUUUACGGGAUGAAAAUGACAGUACCGUAAGAAUAAGGUCCGGCUAAAUACGUGCCAGCAGCCGCGGUAAUACGUAUGGACCGAGCGUUGUCCGGAAUCAUUGGGCGUAAAGGGUACGUAGGCGGCCUAGUAAGUUAGAAGUGAAAUAAUAUAGCUCAAAUAUAUAAAGCUUUUAAAACUGCUAGGCUUGAGAGGUGGAAGGGAAAGUGGAAUUCCUAGUGUAGCGGUGAAAUGCGCAGAUAUUAGGAAGAAUACCGGUGGCGAAGGCGACUUUCUGGUCAUCAUCUGACGCUGAGGUACGAAAGCGUGGGUAGCAAACAGG